This 506-nucleotide ribosomal RNA is filed under the name uncultured bacterium. RNAcentral describes it as "partial 16S ribosomal RNA". It matches the Rfam family "Bacterial small subunit ribosomal RNA", at positions 28 to 508 of the family's 1533-position model. The record is from RNAcentral.
GACGAACGCUGGCGGCGUGCCUAAUACAUGCAAGUAGAACGCACAGUUUAUACCGUAGCUUGCUACACCAUAGACUGUGAGUUGCGAACGGGUGAGUAACGCGUAGGUAACCUGCCUGGUAGCGGGGGAUAACUAUUGGAAACGAUAGCUAAUACCGCAUAAUAUUAAUUAUUGCAUGAUAAUUAAUUGAAAGGUGCAAUUGCACCACUACCAGAUGGACCUGCGUUGUAUUAGCUAGUAGGUGAGGUAACGGCUCACCUAGGCGACGAUACAUAGCCGACCUGAGAGGGUGAUCGGCCACACUGGGACUGAGACACGGCCCAGACUCCUACGGGAGGCAGCAGUAGGGAAUCUUCGGCAAUGGACGAAAGUCUGACCGAGCAACGCCGCGUGAGUGAAGAAGGUGUUCGGAUCGUAAAGCUCUGUUGUAAGAGAAGAACGGGUGUGAGAGUGGAAAGUUCACACUGUGACGGUAUCUUACCAGAAAGGGACGGCUAACUACGUGC